Molecule: ribosomal RNA, 465 nt
Filed under: uncultured bacterium
Lineage: Bacteria
Description: bacterial SSU rRNA
Rfam family: Bacterial small subunit ribosomal RNA
Source: RNAcentral
UGCCAGACUCCUACGGGAGGCAGCAGUGAGGAAUAUUGGUCAAUGGCCGAGAGGCUGAACCAGCCAAGUCGCGUGAGGGAAGACGGCCCUACGGGUUGUAAACCUCUUUUGUCGGGGAGCAAAGCGAGUCACGUGUGACUCAUUGAGAGUACCCGAAGAAAAAGCAUCGGCUAACUCCGUGCCAGCAGCCGCGGUAAUACGGAGGAUGCGAGCGUUAUCCGGAUUUAUUGGGUUUAAAGGGUGCGUAGGCGGAACAUUAAGUCAGCGGUAAAAUCGAGGGGCUCAACCCCUUUAAGCCGUUGAAACUGGUGAUCUUGAGUGGGCGAGAAGUAUGUGGAAUGCGUGGUGUAGCGGUGAAAUGCAUAGAUAUCACGCAGAACUCCGAUUGCGAAGGCAGCAUACCGGCGCCCGACUGACGCUGAGGCACGAAAGCGUGGGGAUCGAACAGGAUUAGAUACCCGUGUA